This is a long non-coding RNA of Dipodomys spectabilis (banner-tailed kangaroo rat), 102 nucleotides long. RefSeq lists it as uncharacterized. The record is from RefSeq and is a predicted model, not a curated record. The transcript is spliced from 4 exons. Lineage: Eukaryota; Metazoa; Chordata; Mammalia; Rodentia; Heteromyidae.
AGAUAUUAAAUAUUUCUGUGUGUGUCUCUUGGCCAUUCUUUCUUCCUCUACAGAGAAAUCUCUCUUUAAGUUUUAGCCUACUUAUUAAUGGGGUGGUUGUUU